AAGUCGGGAAACUUUGGUUCCGCCCGGAUGUUUCCGCCCAGACCGAAGAACGGAAACACCGGACAUCCGGCAGCCUCGCGAAGGCUGUAAUCAGCCGAUUGAGCACAGCUGUGCCUAGUUAAAGAGAUCGCCGGGCAAUUGGACAACUGGAGGACAUGAAGGAGUAUUUAAAGCACAGUUAAAUGACAGUUCGGGAGUUCGGGCACGAGAGGGGGACUGACACGGGGAAAGCUCCUCUGCUUAAUGCAGAAAACGUAACUACGUACCUUUUGAAGAGCCCGCAGGCUCUGUUGAUCCGGGCUGCGCUUGGAGCGCGCGGAAAGAAGACAGGAGCUGCCUGGGGUGAAAGAAAGGCGAUACGUGGGUGGAGAAAAGGAGCACCCCGAAGAGAGCAUUGUGCUGACGGGUGCGUAGUGUGUGCUGAGAAACGGAGCUGUGCUCAUUGUUGGACGGGGUGGCUGUCUGUGUUUCUCUCUCUCUCUCUCUCUCGUUGUAGUCUGUAUUGUGGACCUGCUGGAGUAAACAGGAAAAUCCUAUGGGUAAAAAGGAACUUUGUUCUAACCAAUACUGAAGGAGUAAAGCAGGAAGAAAAUUGACCUUCUGGUACAACGUAAACAAAGGCUAUUCGCCGUGAGUAUACCCUUUUGGUGUGGAGUAACUUGCAAAAAUUAACUUGUGUAACCAUUGGAAACCUCCAGGAGAAGGAGGGCGGCCCUACCCCUACAAUAGUGUGGUGGGCGAGCCGUUAGAAGUACAAAUUCAAACAGCCACCGCAACGAGACUUUAUUGUGGUCGUAUUUCCCAUCGCCCCUAUCUUAGCCCAAGCGCAGUGGAGGACACCGGGCGCUUCCCUUGUUGUGGUGCACUUAUGGUGUGGUGAGUGAGACUGUGUAAUAAAUCUUUUCACGUUGGAGUGGUGCUGUGUAUUUGCUGUGGGUUGCUGUGUGUCUUGUAGACGAAGCCCCGCAUCAUCCAUUUUCUUCUACUGGGCAGAGGACGGAGAGGCCAACGACCUCAGAAAUUACUGUUACCAUAUGUAGUGUGCUGCUCGGAGUACGAAGGAACGCAGACCAAGAGCUGUCAGUGACUGGGAGUAAAAUAUUGGAAAUAUUCGUGGUGUAAACUUACCUGUGUCUGUUUUGUCGCAGAGUCAGAGGCGAAAGGGUCCGCCGCCCCCGCGGUCUCUACAAAGGGGCGCCCCUGUCCAGGAUUCGAUCGGCCUACGGGCAGUGGAGAUGGGGCAGCGCUCGACCCGGUGAGGUGGUGUGUGACCUUCGCCCCUCUACUGACCUACGGAGGAAACCAUACCUACCCAGAAAGCUGUAAACAGCAGAGCCGCGGCCACCUGUGGAGAGAGAGAAGAACGAGAGUGAAUAAUUGGAGAGCAGACUGUGAACGUGAUACCUACCCAGAGAGCUGUAAGCAGCAGAGCCGGUGAGAAAUACUCGAAGUCCAAGUACAGUGUCUUUGUGUCUUAGUGGCCGCCUGUGGAGAGAAAGGAAAACGAGAAUGAACAUGAGGAGAAUGGGCCGUGUGAAGAUACAGUGGUGGUGGAGGAGAGCCUAGAGUGGCCAUUAUUUUAAGUUCCCCUUUUCCCCUUCCCUAUUUAAUAUUUUUAAGUAAUUUAAUAAAGGAUAUUUUAAUUUUA
This is a non-coding RNA of Paramisgurnus dabryanus, 1648 nucleotides long. The record is from RefSeq and is a predicted model, not a curated record. Lineage: Eukaryota; Metazoa; Chordata; Actinopteri; Cypriniformes; Cobitidae.